UUGGUGCCAAUCUAGCUAAAAAUUUAUACGAGGUUUAUUUUUCCCUGCUUUUCUUCUGCAACAAGGGUAAAUGUUCUUCUUUCUCACAACUUUGUGCAGCAAGGGGUUUCACUCAGAAGAGUUGUACCAUAAUUGUAGGAUAACUACGGCAAGUUGCAACAAACGUUUGGAUGCAGUAAACUGAAACAACACUUUUCUUAGGCGGCGAAUUUGGUUCUCUCUCGCUACUGUUAGGACUCUUGUACCAACUGAUAUUAGGGAACAACAAAUUUUAAUAUUGAUGGACUCUGGACAAACAAACAAGCGUCCCUGCUCGGAAAAGAAAUGUCCUGAUAGGAAUGUUAGACGACGCGAACAGUAUAAACUUAAGAUGGCGAAUGAAAAGAGUGCACUAUCAUUACAGGAAGUACUCAAAAAUCAGGCGUUGCAACGUAAUCGCUUUGAAAGAGAGACUUCUAUUAUCUCUACUGAUCUAACAACAACAUCAGCACAUUUAUAGUGUACUUCUAAUACAAAGGGCUCCUACUAUACUUCCAAAACAGGUUAGUAUACUAAUUUUAUAUCACAAUCUAUACAGUACGCAAUUGUUUCAUUGUUUAGAACAAAUAUAAUUUUUUUAUGUGUAUGAAUAUCUACCAUAAAUUUAACACUAUAGACAUCUGUUGCGCUUACGCCAACUAUGCAGAGAGUAAGGUUACAAUGCUUCCAUCAUUUCCUCCUUUUGACAAGGGAAAUCCUCUUUGCACUUAUGAGAAAGGCAAGUUGCCUAAAGUUACCAUAAUUUUACACUAAUAUAUAAGAUAUUAUGUUGACUAAAAAACUACUUAUCUGGUAGGUUCAACGUCGGUUGUACCUAAUGAACAAAAUGAUACAACCGAGAUAAUGAUAACUAAAGGUUUAUAUUUGUGUCAUCUUUAGGCAAUAUCAUUUUGUGCUUACUAUUUUACUCCUUACAACCUCUACAACAUGCAGGUCGCGCUCGAAAUAACAAAAUUGCUAUGAAUAUUGAAUUACGUUCAGACUAUAUGCCAUUAAAAAGGGUUCCAAAUUGUAAAUUUUGCUUUGCGAAAAGAUUUGAAUAUGAAUCUCCUGGAUUUUUGUUGUGGCACUGGUACAGUUAAGAUAAUUUCACAUCGAAUGCCCACUAAGAUACAUGAUCUAUAUUUUGAGAAUAGUUAAAAAUCCUAACACUUUCGAACAUACAUUAGAACAUAUAAUAAUACAUUUGCAUUUACAUCACUUGGUAUAAACUAUGAUACAGACUUAGCGCGAAGGAAUCAUGGUAUCUAUACUUUUAGAGUUCAAUGACGAAUGUAUCACCUAAUAGAUGAUUUGUAUCCCAGAGAAAAAAAACCAAAAAAUCUAUAGUUGUACUUUUAAGACGACAACAAUGAGUUAGCAAAUAGAAUGGCAUGCUCUAAUAAAGUUAAUGAAUCUAUAGUGAGGGAACUAAUGGAUAUGUUGACAGUUAACCCGUACUCCUUUUUUAUCCGAUCUUUGAUAGAUAUUCCUGACCUACAAAACUUUCAUAUUGGACUGAAAUGUGAUCCUGGCUUAGAUCAACGAAUAUUUAAUUUGCCAACUUCCUCAGAAAUUGUUGCAUAUGAGUUGAGGACAAUGACAAUAGUAUAAACCAUGCACCACAUAUUCAAAUUUACACUCACACCAAUAGCACACAAAUAGUGAACUAUUAUUAUGGAUAUUUUGACGCCUUGCAGUAUCCUUUGUUGUUUUCAUAUGGACAGAAUGGGUGGCAUUGUGGUAUUAAGAAAAUUCCUAAACAAAAAAAUAUUCAUGGAAGUUAUGAAUGUCAACAGUUGUCGAGCAUACAAAAUCUUUGCUCUCUUGAUUCAUAUCUUCAAAUGGAAGCUCAAACUUUAGAAAAAGGAAAGAAAAAAAGAGAUGCAGUUUUUGCACGUGAAUAUUACUGUUAUAAACUUCAAAUAAGAAAUGAUGACGAGGAUGAGUUGCUACAUACUGGUAGGCUAUUUCAGCAAUAUUCAGUUGACGAAUAUAUAAAAAUUGAAACCCAAAGACUUGAUUUUGCUUCGUUCAAUCAAGAUUUAUGUAUAGUGGAUAUAUUGCAAGGACUUCUAGAUAUUUUAAGACUUGGAGAACGAGAUUCUUCUAACAUUGGUAAGCAAAAAUUUCCUUUCAGCUUCUUUUAUAGGUGGACCUAGAGAUAUGCGACAACGAUAUAUGGAUGCUAUUGCAUUAGUACAACGUUUCGGCAAACCAGAUUUGUUUAUAACUAUGACCUGUAAUCCGACUUGGCCGGAAAUAAAAGAACAUUUGUGGACAAUUGAUGAAGCACAAAAUAGACCUGAUUUAAUUAGUCGAGUAUUCAGAGCUAAAGUUGAAGAACUGAAAACAGAUAUAAGCAAGAGAAAUAUCUUUGGAAAAGUUGCUGCUUAUAUGUAUACUGUUGAAUUCCAAAAACGAGGUUUACCAUAUGCUCAUUUCCUUAUAAUAUUAGCUAACGAAUAUAAGUUAUUGACAUCAGAGGCUUAUGAUGAAAUUAUUAGUGCUGAAUUACCAGAUGCUAAUUUGGAUAAAAAAAUUACGUUUGAUUGUUCUCAAACAUAUGAUGCACGGUUCAUGCGGUAAUCUGAAUCCGACAAAUUCGUAUAUGAAAAAAAAUGGGCUUUGUAAGUUUAAUUAUCCAAAAAAAUUUGCUGAACAAACAUCAAAAGGAAGUGAUUCUUAUCCCAUCUAUAAAAGACGAAACACAUGAGAAGUUGUGAAAGUACGAGAGCUGUAAAUAGAUAACUCUUGGGUUGUUCCAUACAAUCCUUUUUUACUUGGUAAAUUCAACUGUCAUAUGGACGUUGAGGUUUGCUCUAACAUAAAGGUUGUUAAAUAUCUUUACAAAUAUAUUUAUAAAGGACAUGACAAAAUUGCAUUUUACGUACAUGAUAAUGAUACAAACAAAGAAAUAGAUGAAAUAAAGGAGUAUCAAUCUGCUAGAUGGGUAUCACCACCUAAAGCUGAUUGGCGUUUAUUUAGUUUCUCUAUUAGUGAGAUGUAUCCAAGCGUUUAUCAUCUUCAAUUACAUCUUAAAGGGCAACAACUUGUUUCUUUUAAAGGCAAGACAAGUAUUAACUCAAUCAUUAAUAAUCUAAUGAUUAAGAAAACAAUGUUGACAGAAUUUUUUCAGAUGAACAGAACUAACAAAGAUGCCGUAAAACUUAACUUAUUAUACAAAGAAUUUCCGAAACACUUUGUAUGGUCAACAACAGACAAAACAUGGACACUGCGACAACAACGUUGCGCUGUUGGUCGUAUCGUAACAUGUCACCCAACUGAAGGAGAAUGAUAUUAUCUCAGACUACUGUUGCUAAAUGUGAGAGGACUGAAAUCAUAUGCAAAUCUUCGAACUAUAAAUGGGGAACGUUAUAAUACUUUUAGAGAAUUCGUAGAAAAAAGGGGACUGUUACACUGUGAUAACAGUUUAAUUGCUUGCAUGUCAGGGGCAGCAAGCUACUAAAAGCCAUAUAGUUUAAGGCGUUUAUUUUCUACAUUAUUAGUGUGUUGUAAUCCAGCUAAUCCAAAAGAAAUAUGGAAACAAUUUGAAGAGCAAUGUCAGAAGAUUACAAAGUGUUACCUAAUGUUGAAAAAAAAAGAUAUCCAAUAUCAAGUUUUAAAUCAGAUCAAUGAUAUUUUACACUCUAUGGGUCAUAAUGUAAAUGAAUAUGAGCUUAUCCCAGAAAUCGUUCAACUAUCUAUACUGGAAAAAGAAGCGAAGGAGAUAUUCUUUGAAAGAACCAUCAGGGUUGGUGAAGAAGAUAUACUGUUACACAAAAAACUGAACACAAAACAAUUGAAAGCAUACAAUGUGAUUAUUGACCAAGUAUUUUCCAAGAAACCAGGAGCUUUCUUUAUCGAUGAUCCAGGAGGGACUGGAAAAACUUUCUUAUAUCAUGCUUUAUUAGCGACUAUUCAUAGUAAAGGGUACAUAGCUCUAGCAACUGCUACUUCUAGCAUUGCUGCUUCAAUUCUUCCAGGUGGGCGAACUGCACAUUCACGUUUAAAAAUACAUAUAGACAUUGAUGAAAAUUUCAGCUGUAACAUUAGCAAACAAAGCUCAACUGCAAGUCUGAUUCGUGAUGCAAAAUUAAUUGUAUGGGAUGAAGUAUCUAUGGCUAAAAAAAGAAUGCUUGAUAUUUUUGACUUGCUCUUAAAAGAUCUUAUGGAUACAAAUAUUCUAUUUGGGGGAAAGUUGUUAUUUUUGGAGGUGACUUUAGACAAACUCUUCCAGUUGUUCGAAACAGGAAUAAAGAAGAUUUUAUUAGUGAAAGUUUACUAUAUUCUACCAUUUGGGACGAACUUGAAAAAUUGCAAUUAUCUGAAAAUAUGAGGGCAAAAACAGAUCAUGUUUUUUGUGAUUACUUGAUAAGAAUUGGAAAUGGACAAGAGAGGAUAAACUUUAAUAACAAAAUUGAACUUCCAGAUUCUAUGAUUAUUUCUUUUACAACUGAAGAAGAAUCUCUAAACCAUUUAUUCGCUAUGACAUUCUCAAAUUUACACACAUCCUCCUCUAAUUCUUUUUUUGCAGAUUCUCGCGUUGUUCUAACGACAAAGAAUGAUUUUGUAAAUGAAAUCAAUGAUAUUCUUAUAGCAAAAUUUCCAGAAAAAGCUACUAUAUUUAUUGGUAUUGACGAAACCAUUGAGCCUAAUAAUCAAAGUCAAUUUGAAGACCUAUUACACACUUUGAAUCCUGCUGGUUUACCUCCUUACAAAUUAACUUUGAAAGAGAACUUCCCCAUUAUAUUGUUGUGCAAUUUGAAUCCGUAUGAAGGUUUAUGCAAUGGUACACGGUUGAUAUGUUGCGAUAUUAAGACACAUGUUAUCAGUGCUAAGAUCGCGACAGGCGAUUUUAAAAAUAAGCACGUAUUUAUCCCAAGAAUACCAUUAUUAUCUUCACAAGACGAAAGAUUACCAGUUCAAUUUAAAAGAACACAGUUCCCAGUAAGAUUAUGCUAUGCUAUGACUAUAAAUAAGGCGCAAGGUCAGACUCUGGAUUUCGUCGGAAUAUAUUUGUGAGAACCUAUUUUUUCACACGGUCAACUUUAUGUUGCCUUAUCGAGAGCAAAAAGUUCAAAUUGCGUCAAAGUGCUGAUCCGACCGUCCACGCUAGCCAACCGUGAUGACCAUUCUACAUAUAAUAUCGUUUAUGACGAAAUUAUCCAAAGAGCAUCCUUGCGAUGAGAUUAAGAGUGGGCUUCUACUUACCUCGAGCUCCGAAAGAAGGAAAUAUCAGUUAUUUUUUGACAAGGACAUGCUACUUUGUUCAGUGAUUAUGGAUUCAACCUAUUUUGAUUCUAAUAUUUUCUAUUUCUUCAAGUUGAUCUUGGUUCUACAAUUAAGGUAUUGUAUCAAGAGUUCGACUUAUUUAUACUGGAUGUAAGCUAUAUACUUAAUUCUCCAGUAGCUGGUCUAUGUCUAGAACCAAUGCAUUAGUAAUAAUAAGAUGAUGUCACUGUGAGAUGGAAGAGAUGGAAGAAUAUGUAUGGUAUUAUCCAAUAGCACCGUCUCUGAUUUACCUUUUCAUUGUAGCUUCUUUUGGAUAUGCACAUAUAAACAUAGAGGGAAAUUCGAAAGGCUGAGCAAGAUGAUAUUUGUUGUCAUUGUUUUGUAAACCAGCUUAUGGCUGUUUUGAAUUCUAAAAUAUUUGAUUGCUCAUUGUGAUCAUCGCAAAUAUACAUUUCUAUAAGUUGUUGUGCUUCUGCUAAAAAUGAUAUUGCAUUUCUUGGUGUAUAUGUACUAUAGAAAAGACAUAUUAUAUGGUAUUGAAACAAAAAAAUCCUAAAUAGAGUGGAAUGGAUAUAGAGCAUUCAUAUCAUUAACCCUCAUUAGUUUGGUAUUGAGUCAUCUUUGAGUGACUGACUAAUUAUCUUUUCUAGAAUGUAAAAAUAGCUUGGUGCUUUGUAGUGCUUCAAAGAAUGUACUUUAUCCAAUUUCAGAUGUUGAGUUGUCAAAUAAUAGACAAGAGAAUUCUUUUGUCUUGCCUCCCUUUUUUCUUUAGGUUUCUUGGUGCUUUUGCCAUGCUCAGUCUGUCAUUCGGCCACAACUUACAACUUGCAUCUAGUUUGUUAUGGAUGAUAGGUGGUAGUGUUGCGCAGGCAAUAACAGAUGUUACUAUUGAUGCCUGUGUCACAGAGAACAGUAUAAGCCAUCUUUCUCUUGCCAGUGACAUGCAAAGCUUGUGUGGAGUGAGUUCUUCAAUCGGGCAACUGAUUUGGUACACUAUCAGUAGAUUUUUGGUUCAUUUAAUUCCAUCUAAGGUUUAGUAUCGCUGGCUUAAUUCAAUCAUUAUCAAUGGAAUAUUGUGCUAGAGUUUCGAUGUGUCAGCUUAGUAUCAUUAAAUUUAUAGUUGAGGGUAUUGUUGACUUUAUACUUAUAUGUGCCUUCCAGUGGCAAUAGAACAACCACGUCUAUUUGGUUUUUAUCUGGUUCUAGGAUUAUUCUUCAUUUUCCUUUCUCUUUAGCUUCUUCAUCUCUCUUUCACCAUCUGGGAAGACGCUUCAGCAAUUGGGUUUUAGAUCAGAUCUUCUUCUAUUUGAUUCCUGAUUAUUUUUCUACUUUUAAGGGAGUACCAUAUGGAAAGAGGUUAAGAGAUGCACGAGAAGAUUCUAGGUGGUAUCUGCUUAUGCCUUUUAUAUUACUAGAAGCUCCAUUGUCAGGAUUCGAAGGUGAACAUGAAGUUUGUGGAGGGUUUUGAAAGGAGAGUAAUACUAAUGAUAAGGGGAGGGGAUGAUGUUAUCAGUAUGAUGUUAAGAUUUUUUCCCCACUCAGUUGAAAUGAUCUGUAGGGACAAUAGCUCCCCUGAUGAAAUUUACAGCUAAAUCUGCAGUCAAGAGUUUCCGCGAUGCGAAUAGUGUCAAAUGAUAGUUUAGUAGUGGACAGUUCAGCACUAGAGCCAUCUUAUCUCAUAUUGCCAUUGUCGAAGAAUCUGAGGACACUUCACCUUCAACUGAAAUUAUAGUGAGCGAGGAUUGUUUGGAGAAUGCUGGUCACCUUCUAACUAUUGAAGUUGACAAAAUUCAAUCUUUGUCACAUGCAGAACUAUCACAAGGUUGCAUAUGCCUAAACAGUGAAGGUGUUAAUUAUGCGCUCAGUUAUAUGUAGACCCAUUCAGGAAGAUAUAUUUGUCAAUGAUAAAAAGCUUUUUCCCGACUACGUGAUUGUAAUUACAUAUAUAUUAAGAACUGUUAUUUUUUACUAUACUUACAACUGCAA
This is a non-coding RNA of Nicotiana tabacum (common tobacco), 7239 nucleotides long. Lineage: Eukaryota; Viridiplantae; Streptophyta; Magnoliopsida; Solanales; Solanaceae. The record is from RefSeq and is a predicted model, not a curated record.